CUGAACGCGCGGGGACCACCCCGUAACCCUAAAUACUUCUUAGUGACCGAUAGCGCAUAGUACUGUGAAGGAAAGGUGAAAAGAACCCCGAGAGGGGAGUGAAAGAGAACCUGAAACCCUGUGUUUACAAGCUGUCGAACCUCUUUAUAUGGGGAACGGCGUACUUUUUGUAGAACGGUCCGGCGAGUUACGAUUACUGGCAAGGUUAAGCACUGAAGGUGUGGAGCCGAAGGGAUACCAAGUCUGAAUAGGGCGAAUAGUCAGUGAUUGUAGACCCGAAACCGGGUGACCUAUCCAUGUCCAGG
Molecule: ribosomal RNA, 305 nt
Filed under: Pseudobutyrivibrio ruminis
Lineage: Bacteria; Bacillati; Bacillota; Clostridia; Lachnospirales; Lachnospiraceae
Description: bacterial LSU rRNA
Rfam family: Bacterial large subunit ribosomal RNA
Source: RNAcentral